AUGCCCAAGUGCGAGUGCAUAUUAUCCCUCGCUUUUGUUCACCGUAAGGUGAUCAACGAAUUAGAGCUGGGCAAGCCCGGUUACAGCCGCCGCGGUAAUACCGGCAGCUCGAGUGAUGUCACAUAUUAUUCGUCCUAUAGCGUCCGUAGCUGGCCAACCAAGUACAUUCAGAGAUUCAGUCCCCCAUCGGGUGGGCGUCCGGUGGAAACUGGCUGGCUUGGAACCGGAAGGCUCAGAGAGUACGUCCGGGGUAGGAGUGAAAUACUGUAAUUCCGGUCGUUCUCACGAUGAUGGCAAAACCGCUUUGUGAAGACGGUUUCGACAGUGAGGGACGAAAGCUAGGGUCUCAAACCGGAUUAGAUACCCGGGUAGUCCUAGCUGUCAACGAUGCUCGGAAGGUCGUGCACACACUACGAGUGGGUGCUGUGCCGUAGGGAAGCCGCUAAACGAGCCGCCUGGGAAGUACGUCCGCAAGGAUGAAACUUAAAGGAAUUGGCGGG
This 500-nucleotide ribosomal RNA is filed under the name uncultured Halonotius sp. RNAcentral describes it as "bacterial SSU rRNA". It matches the Rfam family "Archaeal small subunit ribosomal RNA", at positions 377 to 872 of the family's 1478-position model. The record is from RNAcentral. Lineage: Archaea; Methanobacteriati; Methanobacteriota; Halobacteria; Halobacteriales; Haloferacaceae.